UCAGACGAUGCGUCAUGCAUAUCAAUAAGCGGAGGAAAAGAAACUAACAAGGAUUCCCUCAGUAACGGCGAGUGAAGCGGGAAGAGCUCAAAUUUGAAAUCUUGAAAGGUCACCUUUCACGAAUUGUAGUUUAAAGAAGUGUUUUCUGUUACGAUCGUAAUAUAAGUUCUUUGGAAUAGGACAUCACAGAGGGUGUGAAUCCCGUCUAUGAUUGCGAUUUGUAGCCUUGUGAUACACUUUCAAAGAGUCGGGUUGUUUGGGAAUGCAGCCCAAAACGGGAGGUAAAUUUCUUCUAAGGCUAAAUAUUGGCGAGAGACCGAUAGCGAACAAGUACCGUGAGGGAAAGAUGAAAAGAACUUUGAAAAGAGAGUUAAAUAGUACGUGAAAUUGUCAAAAGGGAAGCGUUUAACACCAGUGUUGUUUUCUGAAAAUCAACCUCUGUUAGCUUUAUGCAUGUUUGUUUAGACCUAAUCAGCUAUCUUGCAUGUUCUAUUGUUUGCAGUGGUGCACUUUUCAGUUUACAGGUCAACAUCAGUUUUUUUUGCCGUAAAAAAGUUAAAGAAAGGUAGCUCAUGGCUCCGGUCGUGAGUGUUAUAGUCUUUUUCCUAUGCGGUAGGAGAGACUGAGGUCUGCAGUGUAGGCUAUUUGGCUAGAUACUCAGGUGCUAUGUGAUACCAUUUCAUAAACAACUUGUUGAUCAUGUUUUGUCUAUUGCAUACUCGCUUGUACUAUCAUACCUACGCUUAGGAUGUUGAAGACUCUACAGAGAUA
This 771-nucleotide ribosomal RNA is filed under the name uncultured Neocallimastigales. RNAcentral's name for it is "partial large subunit ribosomal RNA". It matches the Rfam family "Eukaryotic large subunit ribosomal RNA", at positions 18 to 639 of the family's 3401-position model. The record is from RNAcentral. Lineage: Eukaryota; Fungi; Neocallimastigomycota; Neocallimastigomycetes; Neocallimastigales.